NNNNNNNGGGGGGGGGUUAUUUUUCGUCUUUUUGGGAUUUCCUGCGUCAGCCCUUUCUCCCCGGACUCCCCCCCCGCCGCCGCUUCUCUCGCCUCCCUCUGUUCGGUGCCAGGCUGCGCCCAACCCGACGGGCACCGAGCCGCCUCCGGCACCGGCCGCCCGCGCCGGGCAGGAUCCGACCCGGAGCUCAGCUCGGCUUUGCUGUCCCUGGGCUGGCGGCCCGGAGCGGCGGGAGCCCCAACGGGCUUGCGGCGGCCGCGCGAGCGUGCUGGGAUGGGGGGAAGCAAGAAGCGGAAGCGAGCCGGAGAGCGUCCCCGGUGUCACUGGGCCGGGGGACGGGAGGGGACRGCGGCGGACAGCGGCAGGGCGGGUUCGAGGCAGCAGCGAGCGGGAGCAGCGGUCGUGGCCAUCGGGGGCAGCCGGACACAGGAGGCGAUGCCGGGUGCAACUUGGGGCUGAGAUCCCAUCCUGGCUCUCCAUCGGUGACGUCCCCUGGCGCGGUGGGCACGGCUCCGCCGGCGUCCCGGCCGCCUCUGCCUCGGGCCUCCGGAUGCCUCUUGGUGGCCUCCCUCCUGCCCCGGCGUCUCCGUCUCUCCGGGUGCCAGCGGUGUGCCUCCGUGGCGUCCCCGCUCCCUUGGUGGAGAGGGGCCGGGUGUCCCGGGCGUCCCGCUGCGGCUCCGGCCUCGACGGCGGCCCCAAAGUCCCUUGCUAGAGACGGCUGGUGCCUUCAACCCAUCGCAACAUCCUCCUCCUCCUCCUCCUCCUCUUCCUCUGCGGGGCGGGCGGAGGGAAGGGGCCGCCUGGCAGCGGCACGUGCCGGGGGUCCCCUCCACUCUAAGGCACUGCCGGCAGCGCAGGACAGACGGACGGACACAACGGAGCCUGGUGCGGGGCAGCCGAAGCGACGGCUCCUCCGGGCCGGGAGCGGCCACAGCUCUACCGGCGAGCUCUACGCAGCCGCCGUGCCUCCUUCCGUCUGCUUCCCGGGCGCRCCGGCGUCCUUCGGCAGCGAGCGCCGGAGCCGGCGGCCGAGCCGGGGCCAGGCCAGCGCGGGGCU
This 1057-nucleotide long non-coding RNA is filed under the name Apteryx rowi (Okarito brown kiwi). RNAcentral's name for it is "lncRNA (ENSARWG00000002483.1)". Lineage: Eukaryota; Metazoa; Chordata; Aves; Apterygiformes; Apterygidae. The record is from RNAcentral.